AUGUGCUCAGCGCCACAGACGCAGCGGUGCAGCCUUCUCCCCGGCGCUAGUACAGCUGAGGCGGCUGUUGGGCGACGGCGGCGACUUCAGGGGAACCUCCUGACUGCCCUCCCCAUACCCUCCCAACGGCGCCGUUCCUGCUUCCUCCCUCCUCCCUUCUCCCUUCUCCCGAUCCAAUCUCAACCCAUUAGGAACAAAACCGAGGUCAGCAAUAGAUGCAAAUCCAGCUUCAUCUCAAUCCAUCAGCAACAAAGCCGAGAUCAGCAACAGCUAACCUCUUAUUACGAUGUGAUUCCUGACUUGGUGAUCGAUGUGAUUCCUGACUUGGAUCUUCCUCUCAUCCAAAAUCAUAAGAAGCCAAUCGUGGAGACCAUGAUCAGGGGCUGGACGAAAUCGAAAUCGAGGGCUUCUGCUCCUCUGCAGGACUGCAGCCACAGUCGGGUCCUGGCGGUGCCGCCGCCGUCGCGCGAGGAUAGUAGGAGGUCGCGAGUCACUUGAUUCCUUUUUU
This 508-nucleotide long non-coding RNA is filed under the name Oryza sativa Indica Group (long-grained rice). Its description in RNAcentral is "lncRNA OsZS97_01G032220". Lineage: Eukaryota; Viridiplantae; Streptophyta; Magnoliopsida; Poales; Poaceae. The record is from RNAcentral.